UAAGGGAGGGGGGAGUGUGCGCUGUGCAGUUAACUACAGAGAGAGAGAAAACGAGAGAGAGAGAGAGAGAGAGAGAGAGAGAGAGAGAGAGGGAGAGAGUGAGUGAGUGAGAGAGAGAGAGUGCAGCCCGCCGGCCCCAUUGAGGAAAGAUGGCUACAGUCACUGCGAACGGAGUGCAGCAAGAGAAUGGAUUCAGCACCACGAACAGCGCCGGCAGGAUGAACGGGCUCACCAUCGGCCAAAGCACCAUUCCAAUGAAGGACCACGACGCCAUCAAGCUUUUCAUCGGGCAGAUUCCCAGAAACCUGGAGGAAAAGGACCUGAAACCGCUGUUUGAGGAAUUCGGAAAGAUAUACGAACUCACUGUACUGAAAGACAGGUUCACGGGAAUGCAUAAAGGAUGUGCCUUUCUAACAUACUGUGCCAGAGAGUCAGCACUGAAGGCCCAGAGCGCCCUCCACGAACAGAAGACUCUGCCAGGGAUGAACCGGCCCAUCCAGGUGAAGCCGGCUGACAGCGAAGGACGAGGAGAAGACAGGAAGCUGUUUGUGGGAAUGCUCGGCAAGCAGCAGAGCGAGGACGACGUCCGGCGGCUGUUCGAGACCUUCGGUCAGAUCGAGGAGUGCACCGUCCUGCGAGGGCCUGAUGGGGCCAGUAAGGGCUGUGCCUUUGUCAAGUUCUCCAGCCACGCAGAAGCACAGGCUGCCAUCAACACCUUGCACGGUGGACAGACUAUGCCUGGUGCCUCAUCCAGUCUGGUGGUCAAGUUUGCAGACACGGAUAAGGAGAGGACCCUGCGUAGGAUGCACCAAAUGGCGGGCCAGCUCGGCAUCUUCAGUCCCAUGACCAUCCAGUUUGGGGCGUAUGGCGCCUACUCUCAUGCUGUAAGUCUCAGCCCGGCGGGGGAGGAGACGCAGAUGAUGCAACAGCAAGCAGCCCUGAUGGCAGCGACACAAGGGUCCUACCUGAACCCCAUGGCAGCCAUUGCUGCCGCGCAAAUGCAGCAAAUGGCAGCUUUCAAUGUCAACGGCCUGGUGGCUACUCCCAUGACACCGUCCUCAGGCACCAGCACACCCCCAGGCAUCUCUGCUACAGCUGUGCCCAGCAUAGCCACCCCAAUAGGGGUCAAUGGAUUCAGUGCACUUCCACCUCAAAGCAACGGGCAGCCCACCUCAGAGCCCAUCUACACCAAUGGUAUUCAUCCAUACCCAGCACAGAGUCCAACAGUGACUGACCCUCUCCAACAGGCUUAUGCUGGUGUCCAGCACUAUGCAGCAGCCUACCCCGCCGCCUAUGCGCCAAUCAGCCAAGCGUUCCCCCAGCAACCAACCAUCAUUCCCCAGCAACAGAGGGAAGGGCCAGAAGGUUGCAACCUGUUUAUUUAUCACCUGCCCCAGGAGUUCGGAGAUGCGGAGCUCAUGCAAAUGUUCCUGCCUUUCGGCAACGUCAUCUCGGCCAAAGUCUUCGUGGACCGAGCCACCAAUCAGAGCAAAUGUUUUGGCUUUGUGAGUUUUGAUAAUCCAUCCAGUGCUCAAGCCGCUAUCCAGGCCAUGAACGGGUUUCAGAUAGGCAUGAAGAGGCUGAAGGUGCAGCUAAAGCGGCCAAAGGACGCCAACCGACCUUAUUGACUCGUCUACUGUCAGUAUCCAGUGUGAGGUGGUCUUUCUCCGCUAUAGCCACACCCUGUACACCUGUCACGGGGCCGAGUUCUUACAGCUGAUGAAGGGCCACAUCACCUUAUUUCCACAAGUGCAGUAAAAGUACAAAGACUUCUUGCUCUGCUACAUAUCAUGAAGGAAGGGUGGUCCCUUGAUCAUGCUGGAAACCCGUUGAAAGAUUGGGUGACUAAGAGAAGAAUCCCAGAGUUGAUUUUUUUUUUUCCUCUUUUUUUUGAAUGUUUCAUUUUUUUUUCUUUGCAAAUGCCUCCUUUUUUUCCCUGUUUUGCUUUGGCGUCUGGGGAAGAAGAUUUUUUGCAGAGACCAACUUUUUGCUGCUGUUUUUUAGACAUGAUGGGGGAAAAAAAAACAACCUUUAUAGACUCAUUAUGCUCAAAGCAUGCAUACUGACACAGGAUAUAGAUAAACACACAUUAAUGCAGAUAACAAACCAAACAUACACACUUAAAUAUGCUACACCCAAAAGAAAAAGGAAAAAAAAACAAAAAAAACUACUACUUUGUACAUGUAUAAAUACGUGCAAAUGCCAACUCAAGUACUGAAGCAAACACAUGCGUGUACGCAAACACAGACACACUCACACUUACACACAAACACCCACACCAGCCUGCUGCCAUUUUGGUUUUUGUGCCUACACAGGUGUUGUGCUCUGUGACAGGGCAAGCUCUGGAUCGAAGAAGAAGAAAAAGAAGAAGAAGAAGAAGAAGAAGAAGAAGAAGACAAGAGGAAGAGGAGAGAAGAGGAGAAUCCAGGAUAAUUUACAUGCAUCAUUCCUUAGGAAAUAGGGACCAAAGGACUAAACGCUUUUUAAAAGAAUAUAAAUAUAUAAAUAUAUAAAUAUAUAUUUAAAAACUCAUACCUUGUAGCUGCAAGUAUUACAAUUUACUCGUAGUAAAAAAAAACUAAAAAAAAAAAAAAUCAUUAAAUCAAUAUCCAGUGGCCUACUGUAAGUACGAAUAAAAGAAAAUGGAAAUAAUGUACAAAAAAGACAUGGAAUCGUAGUAUAGGGGCUGAUCUUUUGCUCUGGAUGCUGAUUUAGCGCCAGGUUGUAGAAUAGUAAAAUAGACUAGAGGAAAAAAAAAAAA
This is an RNA transcript of Solea senegalensis (Senegalese sole), 2761 nucleotides long. It is a transcript of the gene named CUGBP Elav-like family member 6, with no coding region annotated. The record is from RefSeq and is a predicted model, not a curated record. The transcript has 14 exons. NCBI's taxonomy places the organism in Eukaryota, Metazoa, Chordata, Actinopteri, Pleuronectiformes, Soleidae.